GGCUCAGGAUGAACGCUAGCGGCAGGCUUAACACAUGCAAGUCGAGGGGUAUAGUCCUUCGGAGCUAGAGACCGGCGCACGGGUGCGUAACGCGUAUGCAAUCUACCUUUUACAGAGGGAUAGCCCAGAGAAAUUUGGAUUAAUACCUCAUAGUAUGUGAGAAUCGCAUGGUUUUCACAUUAAAGUUCCACGGUAAAAGAUGAGCAUGCGUCCCAUUAGCUAGAUGGUAAGGUAACGGCUUACCAUGGCGACGAUGGUAGGGGUCCUGAGAGGGAGAUCCCCCACACUGGUACUGAGACACGGACCAGACUCCUACGGGAGGCAGCAGUGGGGAAUUUUGGACAAUGGACGCAAGUCUGAUCCAGCCAUUCCGCGUGCAGGAUGAAGGCCCUCGGGUUGUAAACUGCUUUUGUACGGAACGAAAAGGUUUCUAUUAAUACUAGGAGCUCAUGACGGUACCGUAAGAAUAAGCACCGGCUAACUACGUG
Molecule: ribosomal RNA, 488 nt
Filed under: uncultured bacterium
Lineage: Bacteria
Description: bacterial SSU rRNA
Rfam family: Bacterial small subunit ribosomal RNA
Source: RNAcentral